CAACGAACGAAAGGAGGUGAUCCAGUGUCUCAUUGUCAUCAGCCGCAGUCUUCGGCUUUCCGGACCUGGACCGUCGCCUCCGGCGCCUGCCUCUAAGGGCGUCUGAGACCCGAUCUCGGGACAGUUUCGGCCGAACCUGCGGUUCGGCAAUGGAAGGGCCGCCCUCUCGGGCGGCCCU
RNAcentral lists this small RNA (178 nucleotides) under Methylobacterium symbioticum. RNAcentral's name for it is "caulobacter sRNA CC2171". It matches the Rfam family "caulobacter sRNA CC2171". The record is from Rfam by way of RNAcentral. Lineage: Bacteria; Pseudomonadati; Pseudomonadota; Alphaproteobacteria; Hyphomicrobiales; Methylobacteriaceae.